This 465-nucleotide ribosomal RNA is filed under the name uncultured Klebsiella sp. RNAcentral's name for it is "bacterial SSU rRNA". It matches the Rfam family "Bacterial small subunit ribosomal RNA", at positions 338 to 795 of the family's 1533-position model. Lineage: Bacteria; Pseudomonadati; Pseudomonadota; Gammaproteobacteria; Enterobacterales; Enterobacteriaceae. The record is from RNAcentral.
CCUACGGGGGGCAGCAGUGGGGAAUAUUGCACAAUGGGCGCAAGCCUGAUGCAGCCAUGCCGCGUGUGUGAAGAAGGCCUUCGGGUUGUAAAGCACUUUCAGCGGGGAGGAAGGCGGUGAGGUUAAUAACCUCAUCGAUUGACGUUACCCGCAGAAGAAGCACCGGCUAACUCCGUGCCAGCAGCCGCGGUAAUACGGAGGGUGCAAGCGUUAAUCGGAAUUACUGGGCGUAAAGCGCACGCAGGCGGCCUGUCAAGUCGGAUGUGAAAUCCCCGGGCUCAACCUGGGAACUGCAUUCGAAACUGGCAGGCUAGAGUCUUGUAGAGGGGGGUAGAAUUCCAGGUGUAGCGGUGAAAUGCGGAGAGAUCUGGAGGAAUACCGGUGGCGAAGGCGGCCCCCUGGACAAAGACUGACGCUCAGGUGCGAAAGCGUGGGGAGCAAACAGGAUUAGAUACCCUUGUAGUC